CCCAAGUAUUACUCCCCCCUACAAAAGGAAGGCCCCGAGGUAGAGAGAGAAAAUACUGGGGGAGCUCGAGCAAUCCGCCGUCCGUGUCGUCGUCGUCGGCGUCGGCGAGGUCGUCGUCUCCGGCAGGGGGUGGGGGAGCCAGGUCGAGGCGAGGCGGGGGGAGCCCGGAAUCAGGAAGAUGACUCAUAUCCUUUGCCCUACAUCUUGAAUUCGUGUUUUUCCCUUGUCGCGAUCUCGUUUUUGUUCUUGCUUGCGGCGAUCCGUUCUUCUUCCUCUGUUUCUUCCUUGACUUCUCGCCGGCGGCGGCGUGGGGUGCACGCGGCAACCAGAGGGACCGCGACCGCGAGCGCGCGCAGGCGCGGAAGCCCAACGCCAAGGGCCCCCAGGACGGGCUCACCCCGGAGCAGCGCCGCGAGAGGGAUAAGAAGGCGCUGGAGGAGAAGGCCGCGAAGAAGGCGGCGCAGGCCGCGGGCGGCGGGACCUCCACGGACAACAAGAAUAAGGCCGGCGGCGCAAAGAAGCUAAAUUACCUGUUUGUUGAUUUGUUUGAUGUCAACGUGUAG
This 563-nucleotide long non-coding RNA is filed under the name Oryza sativa Indica Group (long-grained rice). RNAcentral's name for it is "lncRNA OsLima_11g0012020". The record is from RNAcentral. Lineage: Eukaryota; Viridiplantae; Streptophyta; Magnoliopsida; Poales; Poaceae. RNAcentral also lists the same sequence under 1 other name.